This 661-nucleotide ribosomal RNA is filed under the name Shigella sonnei. RNAcentral describes it as "bacterial SSU rRNA". It matches the Rfam family "Bacterial small subunit ribosomal RNA", at positions 875 to 1520 of the family's 1533-position model. Lineage: Bacteria; Pseudomonadati; Pseudomonadota; Gammaproteobacteria; Enterobacterales; Enterobacteriaceae. The record is from RNAcentral.
UCGAUUUGUUGACAUAGGACGAGUUUUUAAAUAAGCAAGUGUACAAUUCAGUCGCCGGGGGCCCGCACAAGCGGUGGAGCAUGUGGUUUAAUUCGAUGCAACGCGAAGAACCUUACCUGGUCUUGACAUCCACGGAAGUUUUCAGAGAUGAGAAUGUGCCUUCGGGAACCGUGAGACAGGUGCUGCAUGGCUGUCGUCAGCUCGUGUUGUGAAAUGUUGGGUUAAGUCCCGCAACGAGCGCAACCCUUAUCCUUUGUUGCCAGCGGUCCGGCCGGGAACUCAAAGGAGACUGCCAGUGAUAAACUGGAGGAAGGUGGGGAUGACGUCAAGUCAUCAUGGCCCUUACGACCAGGGCUACACACGUGCUACAAUGGCGCAUACAAAGAGAAGCGACCUCGCGAGAGCAAGCGGACCUCAUAAAGUGCGUCGUAGUCCGGAUUGGAGUCUGCAACUCGACUCCAUGAAGUCGGAAUCGCUAGUAAUCGUGGAUCAGAAUGCCACGGUGAAUACGUUCCCGGGCCUUGUACACACCGCCCGUCACACCAUGGGAGUGGGUUGCAAAAGAAGUAGGUAGCUUAACCUUCGGGAGGGCGCUUACCACUUUGUGAUUCAUGACUGGGGUGAAGUCGUAACAAGGUAACCGUAGGGGAACCUGCGGUUG